Molecule: unclassified non-coding RNA, 183 nt
Filed under: Glomeraceae sp.
Lineage: Eukaryota; Fungi; Glomeromycota; Glomeromycetes; Glomerales; Glomeraceae
Description: partial contains 5.8S ribosomal RNA and internal transcribed spacer 2
Rfam family: 5.8S ribosomal RNA (bases 1-65)
Source: RNAcentral
GUGAAUCAUCAAAUCUUUGAACGCAAAUUGCACUCUCCUCGGAGAGUAUGCCUGUUUGAGGGUCAGCCUAAAAAAAAAUCUACAUCGUUUCUUUUCUUUGGUGACGUUCGUCGGAAAUUUGGUUAUUUUCAACAUUUUUGUUUUAUCGACUUAAAAUUUUUUUUUUGAUUCCAUGAACGUUUC